GACUAAAACUAUCAAGAACAUUUGGCACAAGACUAAGACUAAAUUAAAAAGAGGAGACAAAAUUAACACUACUGCUCCUGCACAAC
Molecule: long non-coding RNA, 86 nt
Organism: Etheostoma spectabile (orangethroat darter)
Lineage: Eukaryota; Metazoa; Chordata; Actinopteri; Perciformes; Percidae
Exons: 3
Source: RefSeq, a predicted model, not a curated record